AUGAAUUAGAAAGAAAGAGAUCAGGUUAUUUAUGAUCGGAGAAAAGGAAGGGGCGUGGUUGAUGUGUCACUGGGAACCCGUAGGAAGGGGAGACGACCGGCCUCAUUCACAUCUGAAAUCGCCAACAUGAACACAAACGAAAUCGUCGAAUUUCGUAUAGAAAGAAAAAAAAGGAAACAAGUAAAAAAGCAUGGUCCCCGGGGAUAG
RNAcentral lists this ribosomal RNA (207 nucleotides) under Triticum aestivum (bread wheat). RNAcentral describes it as "partial small subunit ribosomal RNA". Lineage: Eukaryota; Viridiplantae; Streptophyta; Magnoliopsida; Poales; Poaceae. The record is from RNAcentral.